UCCGGUUGAUCCUGCCRGACCCGACUGCUAUCAGAGUGAGAUUAAGCCAUGCGAGUCAACGUAGCAAUACGUGGCACACGGCUCAGUAACACGUAGUCAACAUAACCAAAGGACGUGGGUAAACUCGGGAAACUGAGGCUAAACCGCGAUAGACCAAUAUACCUGGAAUGGUUUUUGAUUAAAAUCUAUAUGGCCUUCGGAUUGGACUGCGACCGAUCAGGCUGUUGGUGAGGUAAUGGCCCACCAAACCUGUAACCGGUACGGGCUCUGAGAGGAGGAGCCCGGAGAUGGGUACUGAGACAAGGACCCAGGCCCUAUGGGGCGCAGCAGGCGCGAAACCUCUGCAAUAGGCGAAAGCCUGACAGGGUUACUCUGAGUGACUUUCGCUAAGAAAGUCUUUUGACACCUCUAAAAAUGGUGUAGAAUAAGGGGUGGGCAAGUCUGGUGUCAGCCGCCGCGGUAAUACCAGCACCCCGAGUGGUCGGGACGAUUAUUGGGCCUAAAGCAUCCGUAGCCGGUCUUACAAGUCCUCCGUUAAAUCCAACUGCUUAACAGAUGGGCCGCGGAGGAUACUAUAAGACUAGGAGGCAGGAGAGGCAAGCGGUACUCAGUGGGUAGGGGUAAAAUCCGUUGAUCCAUUGAAGACCACCAGUGGCGAAGGCGGCUUGCCAGAAUGCGCUCGACGGUGAGGGAUGAAAGCUGGGGGAGCAAACCGGAUUAGAUACCCGGGUAGUCCCAGCUGUAAACGAUGCAGACUCGGUGAUGGACUAGCUUCAUGCUAGUCCAGUGCCGCAGGGAAGCCGUUAAGUCUGCCGCCUGGGUAGUACGGUCGCAGGUCUGAAACUUAAAGGAAUUGGCGGGGGAGCACCACAAGGGGUGAAGCCUGCGGUUCAAUUGGAKUCAACGCCGGRA
RNAcentral lists this ribosomal RNA (912 nucleotides) under uncultured archaeon. Its description in RNAcentral is "bacterial SSU rRNA". It matches the Rfam family "Archaeal small subunit ribosomal RNA", at positions 1 to 923 of the family's 1478-position model. The record is from RNAcentral.